ACGAUAUACAUCAAAUAUUCUCCAAGAUAAAUACAAAGAAAAUUUGAAUAAAUUAUCCACAUAAUAUAGAUAAAUAUCACCAAAAUUCAAGACACAUCAACAAAUCUUCCCCUUGGCUUGAAUUUCCUCUAUCAACAAAGCAGUUAACCAUCUUGUCAACAUGCCCCCACUGGGGUGCUAUUGAGAGUCACAUAUUUUAGCAAAGUUUAGGUCGCACCUAAACUUGCUAUCUGAUCCCUAAAUAAAAUGACAUCUGCCAUCGAGUUCUUCACACAC
Molecule: long non-coding RNA, 276 nt
Filed under: Carica papaya (papaya)
Lineage: Eukaryota; Viridiplantae; Streptophyta; Magnoliopsida; Brassicales; Caricaceae
Description: long non-coding RNA (CPAP_LNC010669)
Source: RNAcentral